CAGCAGCCACGGUAACACAGAGGGUGCAAGCGUUAAUCGGAAUUACUGGGCGUAAAGCGCGCGUAGGUGGUUCGCCAAGUUGGAUGUGAAAUCCCCGGGCUCAACCUGGGAACUGCAUCCAAAACUGGCAAGCUAGAGUACGGUAGAGGGUGGUGGAAUUUCCUGUGUAGCGGUGAAAUGCGUAGAUAUAGGAAGGAACACCAGUGGCGAAGGCGACCACCUGGACUGAUACUGACACUGAGGUGCGAAAGCGUGGGGAGCAAACAGGAUUAGAUACCCCUGUAGUCCCUGUCUCUUAUAC
RNAcentral lists this ribosomal RNA (301 nucleotides) under uncultured bacterium. RNAcentral's name for it is "partial 16S ribosomal RNA". It matches the Rfam family "Bacterial small subunit ribosomal RNA", at positions 509 to 807 of the family's 1533-position model. The record is from RNAcentral.